CGACCCGCGACCCGUGGGCAUGACAUGCUGGGCUCGGGGGGCACCGGGGCGAUCUCGCGCCCCCCCCUCGAACGGCAGGGAGACACUCGUGCCUUCCUGCCGAACAACGUACCCCGGCGCGGUCCGCGCCAAGGAACAUGAACGAAAGAGUGCCUCCGGUCGCCUCGGAAACGCUGCGCGCACCGGAGGCGAAUCUUGUCUAGAACCAUAACGACUCUCGGCAACGGAUAUCUCGGCUCUCGCAUCGAUGAAGAACGUAGCGAAAUGCGAUACUUGGUGUGAAUUGCAGAAUCCCGUGAACCAUCGAGUCUUUGAACGCAAGUUGCGCCCGAGGCCUCCUGGUCGAGGGCACGUCUGCCUGGGUGUCACGCAUCGUCGCCCCCGCUCCCCUCGGCUCACGAGGGCGGGGGCGGAUACUGGUCUCCCGCGCGCUCCCGCUCGCGGCUGGCCCAAAAUCGAGUCCCCGGCGACGGUCGCCACGACGAGCGGUGGUUGAGAGACCCUCGGACACUGUCGUGCGCGCGCCCGUCGCCCCCGGGAUCUCCUGGACCCUCGGGCAUCGACCUUCUAGGAUGCUCUCGUUGCGACCCCAGGUCAGGCGGGACUACCCGCUGAG
This 616-nucleotide ribosomal RNA is filed under the name embryophyte environmental sample. RNAcentral describes it as "eukaryotic LSU rRNA". The stretch from base 213 to 368 matches the Rfam family "5.8S ribosomal RNA". Lineage: Eukaryota; Viridiplantae; Streptophyta. The record is from RNAcentral.